RNAcentral lists this ribosomal RNA (253 nucleotides) under uncultured bacterium. RNAcentral describes it as "partial 16S ribosomal RNA". It matches the Rfam family "Bacterial small subunit ribosomal RNA", at positions 524 to 776 of the family's 1533-position model. The record is from RNAcentral.
UACGUAGGGAGCAAGCGUUGUCCGGAAUCAUUGGGCGUAAAGCGCGCGUAGGUGGCCUCAUAAGUCCGCUGUGAAAGUCAAAGGCUCAACCUUUGAAAGCCGGUGGAUACUGUGAGGCUAGAGUACGGAAGAGGCGAGUGGAAUUCCUGGUGUAGCGGUGAAAUGCGCAGAUAUCAGGAGGAACACCGAUGGCGAAGGCAGGUCUCUGGGCCAUAACUGACGCUGAGAAGCGAAAGCAUGGGGAGCGAACAGG